RNAcentral lists this ribosomal RNA (696 nucleotides) under uncultured Actinomycetes bacterium. RNAcentral describes it as "bacterial SSU rRNA". It matches the Rfam family "Bacterial small subunit ribosomal RNA", at positions 73 to 782 of the family's 1533-position model. Lineage: Bacteria; Bacillati; Actinomycetota; Actinomycetes. The record is from RNAcentral.
CUGGAGCUUGCUCCAGCCGAUCAGUGGCGAACGGGUGAGUAACACGUGAGCAACCUACCCUUGACUCUGGGAUAACCCCGGGAAACCGGAGCUAAUACCGGAUACGAACCGCACAGGCAUCUGCGUGGUUGGAAAGAUUUAUCGGUCAAGGAUGGGCUCGCGGCCUAUCAGCUUGUUGGUGGGGUAAUGGCCCACCAAGGCGACGACGGGUAGCCGGCCUGAGAGGGCGACCGGCCACACUGGGACUGAGACACGGCCCAGACUUCUACGGAAGGCAGCAGUGGGGAAUAUUGCACAAUGGGCGAAAGCCUGAUGCAGCGACGCCGCGUGAGGGACGAAGGCCUUCGGGUUGUAAACCUCUUUCAGCAGGGAAGAAGCGAAAGUGACGGUACCUGCAGAAGAAGCACCGGCUAACUACGUGCCAGCAGCCGCGGUAAUACGUAGGGUGCAAGCGUUGUCCGGAAUUAUUGGGCGUAAAGAGCUCGUAGGCGGUCUGUCGCGUCUGCUGUGAAAACCUAGGGCUUAACCCUGGGCCUGCAGUGGGUACGGGCAGACUAGAGUGCGGUAGGGGAGACUGGAAUUCCUGGUGUAGCGGUGAAAUGCGCAGAUAUCAGGAGGAACACCGGUGGCGAAGGCGGGUCUCUGGGCCGUAACUGACGCUGAGGAGCGAAAGCAUGGGUAGCGAACAGGAUUAGA